Molecule: long non-coding RNA, 3913 nt
Organism: Delphinapterus leucas (beluga whale)
Lineage: Eukaryota; Metazoa; Chordata; Mammalia; Artiodactyla; Monodontidae
Source: RefSeq, a predicted model, not a curated record
GCGGCUCCACGCGCCCGCGCUGCGUCAGUCGCCCGCGGCGGCGGCGGCAGCAGCAGCGAAGGAGAAGGAGGUAGCCCCGCGAUCGCUAAGGAAUGCGGCGGCUCCGCAUAACCACGGGGUCAGAGGUCACGGCUCCGGCCUCCGCUUUCCCGCUCUACUGCGAGGCCAAGACCGGACUGGCGGCGGGGCGGGAAGGCGAGACGCGGCUUUCCCUUCGGCGCCCGGGUGUGUGCGUGUCUGCCGUGGGUGUGUGUGAGUGUGUGUGAAGAGUGAGGAGGGGGAGUGUGGGGUUUUUUUUUUUUUGAACAAAAACAAACCGAAAGGGCGGCUGGGAGUCGUAGUCCCGGCUGCCUCUCUGGCCUCCCCCGCUCCGGAAGAAUAUGGCUGAGUGAAACUCUUGGACCACACUUCCCAGCGUGCCCCGCGGCCCGUCUUUUCCGCCCUCCCCUCCCUUCCUCUGCCCCGCGCAGAGCUCGCUCCACACAAGCUCUAGGGGAGCAGGGAUUUUUUUCCUGUUGUGUUCAAAACAAUACUUACUGCUGAAUACAUUACUGAAUCCUCCACAGAGCUCCACAAGAAUGUGCCAGCCCUGGGAGCAGGAGCUUCAUCCUGGACCCCGAGGACUAGAGCGAUGCCCACAACAUAGUAGGUACUCAAAAAAAUGAAGAAAGGAAGCUGGUGCUAAAGCCCUGGCUCUUCUCACUGCCCCAGGACAACCAAGCAGAGAAGACGGAUCCCUGCGUUGAACACACCCCUCACGGAAAUCUGCGCCCCCCGCCCCCAAGCACGCUCUGAGCACCGGAUCUGAGCCACUGAUCACUUUGAAUUGUACAUAUUUGUGAAUGACGCUACCUCCCUACCAGAAUGGGAGCUCCAGAAGCCCUGAGCCACGUGUAGCCCAUGACAUGUGGCACAGAGUUUGGACAGCAUUAUGUAAACCUUUUGUUCACUGGCCAAAGAAGAUAAAUUUCAAAACCAGUGGCAGAAGUUUAAUUUCUCUGUUCCUAAACGUAGCAAAGGAACCACCUUCCAUUCUGCUACCCUGAAAAAUGCCUCAGCCCCAUUCCUAGGGAACCAAGCCACAGUCAACCCUUGGAAUGCCUUGGGUUCUGAGCUGUGCCAGGGAAAGCUCCUUGCAGAAUGGAAUUUGCCAACCGAGCCCAGAAAACCUGCGUGAACAGCAGGCAAACUUAAAGCAGCACUUAGUGAAACUGCUUCCUGUUAUCUCAGAGAGAAAUAGUAGCAUGAGGGGCUGGCUUAAGGAGAAAACGCUGCAGUGCAAUAAAUAGGGCUGGGCGUCACCCCCGCCCCCGACAAACACCCCCAAAAGCCUCCGAGGGCUGCCCCUCUAUCUACAGGCUGUGCCUUGGAGUUGAACCCCUUCUCACUCUCCACUCCCAGCACUCCAGGCCUCGGGUUCCCCAGCAUGAGCCCCGUGUCUCGUUCAUGCUGCUGCCUUCGUCUGGCAUGUCCUUCCCUCCUCUCAGGCGAGUGAAACCCUACCCAAUAUUCAGGAGCACCGCUCAAAUGCGGCCUCCUCUGUGAAGGCUUCCUCCACCUCUCCUGUCCUAUCACUCCUUCCUCUGACAGAAAACACUCUGUCCUGAGCUGUGGGUGUCAGCACCGACCCAACUAGCUGAUCCAUCUAAGGGUCAAACCUAAGAAGACAACAGGACAUGCCCUCAGGGAACUUAUUGUCUAAUUGGGGGAGACCAACGCAAAGAAAUACAUUCAUCGCAAGUUGGGGAAAGGGCUAAGAAGGAAGCACGGUUUAUUUAGUGAGAGACACCACACAGCCAGGUGGAGAUGGGGGGAAACCAGAAUGCGUGGUUGGGGAAGGCUUCUUGGAAGAGACGACAUUAAACUGGUACCUGAUCAAUGAGUACGAGUGAGCCAAGCAAAGCGUGGAGAGAAAUUUCCAGAGAGAGGGCACAGCACAUGUGAAGGUGUCACGGCAUGAACGCGCUUGGCAUAACCCAGAACCUAAAGGAGGCCCGGGAGAGCAGCGGGAGGAGAGGAGGCUGGCCUUCUCGGAGGUCCUAACCACUCUGAAUCACCGUCCUUCGGUGCUUUUGUCUCUCCCCGCCUCAGAAGGGCUGGAGAGCAUUUCACUCCUCUCGGUCUCCAGUGCAGAGCAAGACACCUGGCACUCAACAAGCAUUCAACAAGUUCCUGUGGGCUGCACUGUCCCCAGCCAUGCGGGUGAGCCACUUCUCUCCCUGCCCGUUGCCCCGCCCCAAAAGCCAGUCCCCAGUCAGCUCGCCUAACCGAAGCACCCGGGGACGGUUUACCACAGGCUGCUGAUAGAAACAGAGGAUGAAACAGGAGCAGCUGUGAGAGCUACAGUUACGUCCUUGAUAAAUGCCACCGACAACCCAGUUGGCAGAUGUGACCACCGCAUAGUCCUUGGAGACCAGAUUCUCAGGGUAAAAUUCAAUCAGAUGGCAACUCUAGUACAAAAGGACCUGCCAAAAUCACGCGCCCCGAGACAAAAUACCAGUGUGAAGUUCAAAACAGUUUCCAAGGUCAACUGUUUUUAUUCACAGUACUUCUGAUGAUGAAAUGUAUGCGUUUUUUCCCUCCACCCGAUAAUUAAGUCUCUGAUUCUCCGGACACCAAGUGGGUGUCCUACAAUUCAAUUCAGUACUGACACUAACUCCCAGUAUUUCAGGACUUGGUCCCACAAGACUGCCCCCACUUCAGACGCUAGUCCAAAGUCCCAGGUUGCCACUUGUACCUCUGACCAACCAGCUAUAACUGUCGAGGGUUUCCACAGUCCUGUCCUCAGGUUAAAUAAUUACUAGAAUGAAUGGCUCACGGAACUCAGGAAAGCACUGUAGCUACUAUUACCGGUUUACUAUAAAGGAUGCAACUCAGGAACACCCAAAUGGAAGAAAUGCAUAGUGCAAGGUUGGGGGAAGAGCGCGGAGCCUCCCUGCCCUUUUCGGGCAUGCCAUCCUCCCAGCACCUUCGUGCGUUCGCCAACCUGGAAGCGCUCCAAACCCCCAUCAUUUAGGGGCUUUUAUGGAGGUUCCAUUAGGUAGGCACGAUUGAUUGAAUUAUUGACUAUUGGUGAUUAACUCAAUCUACAGUUCCUCUCCCCUCCCUGGAGAUCAGGAGGGGUGCUGAAAGCUCCGACACUAAUCACAUGAUCGGUUCCUCUGGCAACCAGCCUCCAUCCUGAAGUUAUCCAUGGGUCAUUUCAUUAGCAUAAUCUCAGGUAUGGUUGAAAGGGGCUUGUUAGGAAUACCAAAAGAUACUCUUAUCACUCAGGAAAUUUCGAGAGUUGUAGAAGUUUUGGGGGGAUAAAGACCCUAUAUAUUUCUUACUACAUCACAGAAGGUUUGAGUAGUUUCUUGAUUUUUUUUUUUUUUUAAACAACCCGGAAGAUGAGAAGACAACUUGGUGAGUCAGCAGGAAUUUCCAAGUUGCCCAGCAACCCUGCCCUGUACCUCCCCUGGUAUAUAGCCCCUGACCCACCCAGAUUUCUGCCACUUUCAAGAACACACUCAGAAUUCUUCAAAUCACACUCUGAACCCUUGCUUUCUGGCUAAUGAGUUUUGAUCUGUUCUCAACCAAUAAUUAUACAAGCUAAGCUAAGCUAGCUCAUUUUGGAAAGAAAGGGGGCUAUAGGGACGUUACACAUAGUUUGAGGCCAUCUUAUGAAGAGUUAAGAAUCAUUUGCCUAUAGGCCACCGUCUUCUCUGUGCUCUUCACAUUUCUUGUUGGUAUAUAUAUUUUUAAAGUCCUCUACUAAAUUCUAUUCUAUAGUAGUUCUCCAUGCUUCCCCCUAGUGAGGGUAAAAAAGGACUGCAGAUAACUUCCUGUGAAAUUCUACUUGUCUGUUACACGAGGCCUUCACAAACGCUGUUCCCUCUUUUUAUUUUUUUUAAUAAAUUUAUUUAUUUUUGGC